UACGUAGGGUGCAAGCGUUAUCCGGAAUUAUUGGGCGUAAAGAGCUCGUAGGCGGUUUGUCGCGUCUGCUGUGAAAACCCGAGGCUCAACCUCGGGCCUGCAGUGGGUACGGGCAGACUAGAGUGCGGUAGGGGAGAUUGGAAUUCCUGGUGUAGCGGUGGAAUGCGCAGAUAUCAGGAGGAACACCGGUGGCGAAGGCGGGAUCCUGGGCCAGUACUGACGCUGAGGAGCGAAAGCGUGGGGAGCAAACAGG
Molecule: ribosomal RNA, 253 nt
Filed under: uncultured bacterium
Lineage: Bacteria
Description: partial 16S ribosomal RNA
Rfam family: Bacterial small subunit ribosomal RNA
Source: RNAcentral